Molecule: ribosomal RNA, 485 nt
Filed under: uncultured bacterium
Lineage: Bacteria
Description: bacterial SSU rRNA
Rfam family: Bacterial small subunit ribosomal RNA
Source: RNAcentral
AUUGAACGCUGGCGGAAUGCUUUACACAUGCAAGUCGAACGGUAGAGGGGGCAACCCCUUGAGAGUGGCGAACGGGUGAGUAAUAUAUCGGAACGUGCCCAGUCGUGGGGAUAACGUAGCGAAAGUUACGCUAAUACCGCAUACGAUCUAAGGAUGAAAGCGGGGGACUCGCAAGAGCCUCGCGCGAUUGGAGCGGCCGAUAUCAGAUUAGGUAGUUGGUGGGGUAAAGGCUCACCAAGCCAACGAUCUGUAGCUGGUCUGAGAGGACGACCAGCCACACUGGAACUGAGACGCGGUCCAGACUCCUACGGGAGGCAGCAGUGGGGAAUUUUGGACAAUGGACGCAAGUCUGAUCCAGCCAUUCCGCGUGCAGGAUGAAGGCCCUCGGGUUGUAAACUGCUUUUGUACGGAACGAAAGGUUCUAUUAAUACUAGGAGCUCAUGACGGUACCGUAAGAAUAAGCACCGGCUAACUACGUGCCAGCA